CCCUUAGAUGUUCUGGGCCGCACACGCGCUACACUGAAGGAGGCAGCGUGUACUCCUGGAUCGAAAGAUUUGGGUAACCCGCGAAUCUCCUUCGUGCUAGGGAUUGAGGUUUGCAAUUAUCCUUCAUGAACGAGGAAUUCCCAGUAAGUGCAAGUCAUAAGCUUGCGCUGACUACGUCCCUGCCCUUUGUACACACCGCCCGUCGCUACUACCGAUUGAAUGAUUUAGUGAGGACUUCGGACUGGGACCGAUGCGGCUUUCGGGCUGCGUCGGUAUUCUGGAAAGAUGUCCAAACUGUAUCAUUUACAGGAAGUAAAAGUCGUAACA
Molecule: ribosomal RNA, 327 nt
Filed under: uncultured eukaryote
Lineage: Eukaryota
Description: partial 18S ribosomal RNA
Rfam family: Eukaryotic small subunit ribosomal RNA
Source: RNAcentral